GUUAGGGAAUGUGGCGUUAAGGAGGAUCCGCAAUUCCCGGAGUCGCGUGCGGCGUGUCCAAGUCCUUCUUGAAAGAGGCCGAUCCACCCGCAGAGGGUGCCAGGCCCGUAGGACCGCCUACCGACGACGGGUCGGAUCUCUCCCUAGAGUCGGGUUGCUCGAGAUUGCAGCCCUAAGCAGGUGGUAAACUCCAUCUAAGGCUAAAUACGACCACGAGACCGAUAGCGAACAAGUACCGCGAGGGAAAGUUGAAAAGAACUUUGAAGAGAGAGUUCAAGAGUACGUGAAACCGUUCAGGGGUGAACCUGUGAAACCCGAAAGGUCGAAAGUCGAGAUACAGCGUUCGUCCGCAUCACGGCCGUCGAUCGUGAGAUCCUCGCCCGUUUGGGGGAUCUUGCGAGGCGCGGCGCGGCGACGUGCACUUUUCGGCGAGUAGGACGUCGCGACCCGUUGGGUCGUAGCCGGCGCACAUAUCGGGUGUCGCAAUGGGAAGCUCGGAAGGACGAAACGGGCCGCGCGUUCGUCCAGUUCUCCGAACCCGUUCGUGCACCCACGGCGUUCGGCACGCCCGACGCGACUUAAUUUUCAUAACGAACCGACCGGCGGAGCGCCUACGAGCGCGUCCGUCCCGUCGCCGUUCGACGGACGUCGUUCGGUACCGGCAGAUUCGGGCGGCCUAGCGCCGUCGGCUCCGGGAAAGACGCGUUCCGACGCGACGGUGUUCUCGGACGACCCCUGUCGGUCGAAUCCGCCGUCGGUCUGCGACGCUAUUGCUUUGGGUAAUCUCAGGACCCGUCUUGAAACACGGACC
This 811-nucleotide ribosomal RNA is filed under the name Curtos costipennis. RNAcentral describes it as "partial 28S ribosomal RNA". It matches the Rfam family "Eukaryotic large subunit ribosomal RNA", at positions 135 to 667 of the family's 3401-position model. The record is from RNAcentral. Lineage: Eukaryota; Metazoa; Arthropoda; Insecta; Coleoptera; Lampyridae.